This 377-nucleotide unclassified non-coding RNA is filed under the name uncultured Actinomycetes bacterium. RNAcentral describes it as "uncultured actinobacterium contains 16S-23S intergenic spacer region". Lineage: Bacteria; Bacillati; Actinomycetota; Actinomycetes. The record is from RNAcentral.
UCCGAUUUGUCACCGGCAGUCUCCUAUGAGUCCCCGACAUAACUCGCUGGCAACUAAAGACGGGGGUUGCGCUCGUUGCGGGACUUAACCCAACACCUCACGGCACGAGCUGACGACAGCCAUGCAGCAUCUGUGGUGCACCCUCGAAGGUCACACGUUUCCGUGCGCUUGCAGCACCAUGUCAAGCCCAGGUAAGGUUCUUCGCGUAGCAUCGAAUUAAAGAACAUGCUCCGCUGCUUGUGCGGGCCCCCGUCAAUUCCUUUGAGUUUCAGCCUUGCGGCCGUACUCCCCAGGCGGGGCACUUAUCGCGUUAGCUGCGGCACCGAAGGGGUCGCUCCCCCCGGCACCUAGUGCCCAUCGUUUACGGCGUGGACUAC